Molecule: ribosomal RNA, 264 nt
Filed under: Bacillus cereus
Lineage: Bacteria; Bacillati; Bacillota; Bacilli; Caryophanales; Bacillaceae
Description: partial 16S ribosomal RNA
Rfam family: Bacterial small subunit ribosomal RNA
Source: RNAcentral
GCUCACCCGUGGAGGGUCAUUGUAAACUGGGAGACUUGAGUGCAGAAGAGGAAAGUGGAAUUCCAUGUGUAGCGGUGAAAUGCGUAAAGAUAUGGAGGAACACCAGUGGCGAAGGCGACUUUCUGGUCUGUAACUGACACUGAGGCGCGAAAGCGUGGGGAGCAAACAGGAUUAGAUACCCUGGUAGUCCACGCCGUAAACGAUGAGUGCUAAGUGUUAGAGGGUUUCCGCCCUUUAGUGCUGAAGUUAACGCAUUAAGCACUC